RNAcentral lists this ribosomal RNA (253 nucleotides) under uncultured bacterium. Its description in RNAcentral is "partial 16S ribosomal RNA". It matches the Rfam family "Bacterial small subunit ribosomal RNA", at positions 524 to 776 of the family's 1533-position model. The record is from RNAcentral.
UACGAGGGGCUCAAGCGUUGUCCGGAGUUAUUGGGCGUAAAGGGUGCGUAGGAGGUUGUGUUAGUCGAUGUUUAAAGCCUUGGGCCCAACCCAAGAUAAGGCAUCGAAACGGCACAACUCGAGGGUACGAGAGGUGAGCGGAACUCAUAGUGGAGGGGUGAAAUCCGUUGAUAUUAUGGGGAACACCAAAGGCGAAGGCAGCUCACUGGCGUAUACCUGACUCUGAGGCACGAAAGCGUGGGGAUCAAAAAGG